RNAcentral lists this ribosomal RNA (492 nucleotides) under uncultured bacterium. RNAcentral describes it as "partial 16S ribosomal RNA". It matches the Rfam family "Bacterial small subunit ribosomal RNA", at positions 29 to 507 of the family's 1533-position model. The record is from RNAcentral.
AGUGAACGCUGGCGGUAGGCCUAACACAUGCAAGUCGAACGGCAGCACAAUAAGAGCUUGCUCUUACGGGUGGCGAGUGGCGGACGGGUGAGGAAUACAUCGGAAUCUACUUUUUCGUGGGGGAUAACGUAGGGAAACUUACGCUAAUACCGCAUACGACCUACGGGUGAAAGCAGGGGAUCUUCGGACCUUGCGCGAUUGAAUGAGCCGAUGUCGGAUUAGCUAGUUGGCGGGGUAAAGGCCCACCAAGGCGACGAUCCGUAGCUGGUCUGAGAGGAUGAUCGGCCACACUGGAACUGAGACACGGUCCAGACUCCUACGGGAGGCAGCAGUGGGGAAUAUUGGACAAUGGGCGCAAGCCUGAUCCAGCCAUACCGCGUGGGUGAAGAAGGCCUUCGGGUUGUAAAGCCCUUUUGUUGGGAAAGAAAAGCAGCAGGUUAAUACCCCGCUGUUCUGACGGUACCCAAAGAAUAAGCACCGGCUAACUUCGUG